This is a long non-coding RNA of Phragmites australis (common reed), 739 nucleotides long. RefSeq lists it as uncharacterized. The transcript has 3 exons. The record is from RefSeq and is a predicted model, not a curated record. Lineage: Eukaryota; Viridiplantae; Streptophyta; Magnoliopsida; Poales; Poaceae.
UGUAUGUCCCUUGAAAUUGAAUAUUCAUUAAUUAAUACCACUAAGUUUUGAACCUAACUAUGUUGUUAUCUGUAGACACUUGAUGAAAGAAAUAAAGAAGAAUAAGGAUUCUAUCACAUGUCUUGACCCUGAGGCCAUUACAAUAUCAGUCAUCCAAUUCACCCUGAUUAUGCUAUGGACCAUGUGGUCAGGGCAAUGCAACAAUAUUCCAAAAUGCAGUACCUCAUGGGCUCCCGUAACACCAGUAGCCAUUGAAUCUUACUAGUCAUUUUCCUGAAGUGGGACUUAGUGUUCUACCUUGACUCGUCAAGACCAGUAGGAUGAAAAGGCAAACCUGGAGAGCAUGAUUACAAUGCUGUAAAAGGAAUGCUCGACACGGCUUUUGACAAGUAUAUUCGAGCUCAACCUGACUAUGACGCGAAAGCCAACCACAAACUGACACACAAGAUCGGGUUCACGCAGUGCCACCAACAACCAUCGGUCAACACUUGUGGAUUCUAAAAUGCGUGGAACAUGCUCCUCACACUCCGCAUGAAAGAUAUCAAAUCCUCCUAUGCAAGUUCAAUAUAAGAUUAUGCGUAGCUAAUUUCAGUAAUUAGUUUAAUUCCAUGAUAACAUGACAUUGGUUACAUGUCAAAUUAUUUAGGAAUUUGAUGCUCUUUUUUUCUACAACGAUGCAAUUUUGGAGAUUCGACGACAGAUCGCAAAGUUCUUGGUGGCUGAAGUCAUAAGCCCACAC